CAACCUGCCCACCACUUGGGGAUAACCUUGCGAAAGUAAGACUAAUACCCAAUGGUAUCUCUAGAAGACAUCUGAAAGAGAUUAAAGAUUUAUCGGUGAUGGAUGGGGAUGCGUCUGAUUAGCUUGUUGGCGGGGUAACGGCCCACCAAGGCAACGAUCAGUAGGGGUUCUGAGAGGAAGGUCCCCCACAUUGGAACUGAGACACGGUCCAAACUCCUACGGGAGGCAGCAGUGAGGAAUAUUGGUCAAUGGACGAGAGUCUGAACCAGCCAAGUAGCGUGCAGGAAGACGGCCCUAUGGGUUGUAAACUGCUUUUAUAAGGGAAUAAAGUGAGUCUCGUGAGACUUUUUGCAUGUACCUUAUGAAUAAGGACCGGCUAAUUCCGUGCCAGCAGCCGCGGUAAUACGGAAGGUCCGGGCGUUAUCCGGAUUUAUUGGGUUUAAAGGGAGCGUAGGCCGGAGAUUAAGCGUGUUGUGAAGUGUAGACGCUCAACGUCUGCACUGCAGCGCGAACUGGUUUCCUUGAGUACGCACAAAGUGGGCGGAAUUCGUGGUGUAGCGGUGAAAUGCUUAGAUAUCACGAAGAACUCCGAUUG
RNAcentral lists this ribosomal RNA (595 nucleotides) under uncultured Bacteroidota bacterium. Its description in RNAcentral is "bacterial SSU rRNA". It matches the Rfam family "Bacterial small subunit ribosomal RNA", at positions 122 to 715 of the family's 1533-position model. The record is from RNAcentral. Lineage: Bacteria; Pseudomonadati; Bacteroidota.